UAAUUUAUGUUUCAAAUUUUAUUUACAUUCUCUACUAUUUUUUUUAGAUUUAUUCACCUUUAAUGUUAUUUUUUCUUUAUAUUUUAAUUCUGUUCAGAUUUUGUUUAUCCCAUUUUAAAGUAUCUUACUUGUAUUUCAAUCUUUCCUAACCUCUUUGAAUCUUAGAUAUAUUUUCUCGUUUUUUUUCAGAAUUAAUUAUGUUAAAUAUUUUUUUCUGCUUUUUCUUUUGUUGAUUUUUACAUCGACAUUGCUCUCUCUUAUUUAAUAUAAUUUAAUUCCUUAAAUUUAUUUAUUUUAAAGUUAAAUUCAAUUGUUGUGUUUUGAUUAUUUUAAAUUCGGUUAUUAAAUUUGUCAAAUUCAGUUUUAUAUUAUGUUCUCUUUCUAUUUUUUCACUUUUUAUGAAUUUAUUUAAGUUUUUUAUUAAAUUUCUUUUCUGUUUUUAUUUUUGUUUUUACUUUUAUUUAAAUUUAAUUAAUUUUUUUAUUGAAUUCCUUCUUUCCAUUAUAAUUAUUCAUUAUCUUGUUAAAUUAGUAAUUCUACUAAUAAUUUUUUUUUUCCAAUAGGUAUAUCUUUACAGGAUUCCAAUUCCACAAGCAACAAAAAUUAAUUUAUGUAUUAUAUUAUAUUUCAAUUUUUCGCGCGAUUUUUGAAUGAAAAAAAUAAGCAUUAAGAGCCAGCCAAUCAGAACAUCCCUUAAUUCGAAACGCGGGACGAAUAAGUGCGCAUCGCAGUGCGCAUCGGAGUGCGCAACGCAGUGCGCAUCACACUGCGCAUGUCGUCAGUCUACAGUUGAAAAUUGUGCGAAGUGGAUGUGUCGUCGCGAAUUCGGAUUACGCAAUUUAAUUGAUAGCGUAUGGUAAUAUUCUCGAAGGCGGGAAAAAAUCCAAUAUGGACGCCAUGGACGUCUUGGUGACUUUCUUUCGUGGUAAAAAUUUUAUAUUUCGAAUUUUCUUCAGCUUUCAAUGGAUUUCUUGUUACAGGAACAGAAGAUUGUAUGAUACUGAUUAAAGAAAACGUAUUUAGAAUUAAGUGCAUGCACGAUCAAGGGUUUAUUAAAUAAAGUAGUGUAUUGUAGAAAAGUAGACACUGUAGAUGGGUAAAAUGGUGUAACGCUUUUUGGGAUGCUUAUUUUGCUUAUUUUUUUUCUUUUUUUUUGCGCACGCUUUUUACUAUCGAUCAUUUUUCAUUUUCCUACCGAUGGAAAUGUAAAAUAUUGAUAGAAAAUCUUUUAAUUUUAAUUUUAUCUUCACGUUUAGUCUUCCGCGCCGGGUUCUUUAGAAUUCCUUUUGCUGUUUGUUUUGCACAACGAUCGAAGGAUCUGAACGUUUUGCAAAUUUAUAUCAAAAGGAAGAUUUAUUUAUUAUUGAUUUUAAAUAAAUUUUUGCGUAAAGGAGGGUGGAUGGGAUCGUGGAUAGGGUGGGUCUCCAAUUCGCAGCACCUCCACGCGGUGAGACCUGGAAAAUCAUUAUUAUUUACUAUAUUCUUCAUAAUCGUAUCCUUGAUACAAUUAUAAAUUUUAUAGCAAAUAAGAUGAGCUAAUUGGCUGCGCACGCGAUUUCAAUGAUUAUUUUUUUUAUUUUGUAGUUAGAUUAUUAGUUAAGAUUUAUUGAAAUAAUAGUGAUCAAAAGUUUGAACGUUUUGUAAACAUACAAUGAAAGGAAAAUUUAUUUGUGAAUAAAAUAAUUUGUGAAAAUUAUAAAGUGUAAGAUUUUUUUUUUUCUUUGUGACUUUGAGUGAUAAUAAUUGUGUACGUAAUUAGAGUAUACUACGCUAGACGGCGUAGCUCUAAUCUUUUUUCGGUUCAGAACAUAUUUUACAAAGUCCUAUGAGAUGUCGCGUCAAUCUAUUUCUCGUCCGUAUUUCAUUUAUACGUUAAUUUUACGUAUGUCACUAAUGAAACACGUGGAAAAGAAUAAGAAAUAAGCAAUGAAUAGAAAUGGUGAAUAAAGAUAAGAUAAGAAUUGAACAUGAGCACCAUCUCUUGCAAGCUAGAAACAUCUUUUUAAAGAAAUAUUUUUCUAGAAGCACUAAGAGAUGGCAAUAAUACUUCAUUCUUACCCUACCUUAUCCUCUUUGGAGAAAAGUCUUAUCCUGUGAUUCAAUCAUUUUUAAUUUAUAAUUGUUGAUUUUUGUGUUAUAUUCUCUUUUUAUGUUUUUAUGUUUAUUUAUUGCAAUAUACAAUUUUUAUUGUUCAAGUUCAGUUAGAUUUAAUUAAGUAUUAUGUUACUUUUUUUUAUAUAUGUCUCUUCUAAUUCAAUUGAUAUUUA
Molecule: long non-coding RNA, 2267 nt
Organism: Apis cerana (Asiatic honeybee)
Lineage: Eukaryota; Metazoa; Arthropoda; Insecta; Hymenoptera; Apidae
Source: RefSeq, a predicted model, not a curated record